This is a long non-coding RNA of Panicum virgatum (switchgrass), 456 nucleotides long. RefSeq lists it as uncharacterized. The record is from RefSeq and is a predicted model, not a curated record. Lineage: Eukaryota; Viridiplantae; Streptophyta; Magnoliopsida; Poales; Poaceae. The transcript has 3 exons.
CCACAAAGCCGAGUUCCUCUACUCCCCAAGCAGCCGAACAGAGUGGUCUCCAGAGCACUCCCCAUGGCGACGGGAGCUGCGGCGUCCCCGGUCGUUCAGACUGUGGUGCUGAGGGUGUCCAUCCACUGCCAUGGCUGCAAGAAGAAGGUCCGGAGGGUGCUCAAGAGCAUCGAAGGUGUGCAGAACGUGACGGUGGACGCCGCGCAGCACAAGGUGCCGGUGACGGCGGCAAGGAUGAUGCUGCGAAAGCGGCGGACAAGAAGCCGGAGGAGACGGACUUGGUGAAUUUUUCCUUCUUCUUUUUUGAAACUUUUCUGAAAUAGGGAUCGUAUGGAUUGUAUCGAUUUUGUAAAUGAUUUGUGGGAUCUAUAAAUUUUGUAUCGAUCGAUUCAGUAUUUGUGUUUGAUUCUUCGAAUGAUUUGUGGGAUCUGUAAAUUUUGUAUGAUGGAUUUAGUA